GCAUGAGCCACCAUGCCUGGCCUCAGGUAAAAGCCUGGGUUAUCUGGAUCAAGCUAUGCAUGUUCUUACGGAUGCUCCAGCAUGUGACCUUGAACAGGUAUCUACGCGACCUUCAGCCAGUCACUUAACUUCCUGAGUCUCAGCUGCCUCAUGUAAAAUGAAGAUAAUAGUACCUACUUCUUAAGGCCAUUAUGAGGAAGAAAUGAGAUAAUCCAGAUGGGGAUACUGAGACUCAAGAAGUUUACCCAAGAUCACCUAUAUAGUACGUGGAAGAGUACGAAUUCAAACUCAGAAAGACUCCUCCAGAAGCUACAUCUUUAAUUGCUGGGCAAUACUGCCUUAAAAUGGACUGAGGUGUUUUUGAUCAAUCAGGGUGUUUGAUACAUCUUAAUAAGGUAGCAUAAGACUGUGUUCAAUAACAAAUGCUUCUUUUGAUCGGGGGAAUAAAU
This 449-nucleotide long non-coding RNA is filed under the name Homo sapiens (human). Its description in RNAcentral is "HSALNT0369333". Lineage: Eukaryota; Metazoa; Chordata; Mammalia; Primates; Hominidae. The record is from RNAcentral.